UUAGUACUCCAUUUGCCCGGAAAUACUUGUCAUUAAAAUAGAUAAAAGGAUGCAUUUUAGUUCUACAUACAUCCCUUAUAUUCAUUUUGAUGACAAAUAUUUCCGGACGGAGGGAGUAAUAG
Non-coding RNA from Triticum urartu, 122 nucleotides. The record is from Rfam. Lineage: Eukaryota; Viridiplantae; Streptophyta; Magnoliopsida; Poales; Poaceae.